Molecule: unclassified non-coding RNA, 251 nt
Filed under: uncultured fungus
Lineage: Eukaryota; Fungi
Description: sequence contains ITS1, 5.8S rRNA gene
Rfam family: 5.8S ribosomal RNA (bases 203-251)
Source: RNAcentral
UUUCCAUAUGUGAACCUGCGGAAGGAUCAUUACUGAAUUUGAACCACCUUUCAGUCUUGCUGGCUUUGCAAGUGCACACUGUCUGGUUUCAUCCAACACCCUUGUGGACCUUUGGCCUUGCGUUGUAAUCUUUACGCGUGAGGAUUUUACACAAACUCGUAUGUAAAAGAAUGUAGAUCUAGUGCGUAAGCACAAAAUAAACAACUUUCAACAACGGAUCUCUUGGCUCUCGCAUCGAUGAAGAACGCAGC